AGAGUUUGAUCCUGGCUCAGGAUGAACGCUAGCUACAGGCUUAACACAUGCAAGUCGCGGGGUAACAUCUGGUAGAGCUUGCUCUUCCAGGAUGACGACCGGCGCACGGGUGAGUAACGCGUAUCCAACCUGGCCCAUACCACGGGAUAGCCCGUCGAAAGGCGGAUUAAUACCGUAUGCUGUCAUUAAGAGGCAUUUUUUGAUGACGAAAGGACUGGCGGUAUGGGAUGGGGAUGCGUCUGAUUAGCUUGUUGGCGGGGUAACGGCCCACCAAGGCGACGAUCAGUAGGGGUUCUGAGAGGAAAGUCCCCCACAUUGGAACUGAGACACGGUCCAAACUCCUACGGGAGGCAGCAGUGAGGAAUAUUGGUCAAUGGGCGGAAGCCUGAACCAGCCAAGUAGCGUGCAGGAUGACGGCCCUAUGGGUUGUAAACUGCUUUUAUGUGGGAAUAAAGUCAGGGACGUGUCCCUGUUUGCAUGUACCACAAGAAUAAGGACCGGCUAAUUCCGUGCCAGCAGCCGCGGUAAUACGGAAGGUCCGGGCGUUAUCCGGAUUUAUUGGGUUUAAAGGGAGCGCAGGCCGCCGGGCAAGCGUGUUGUGAAAUGCAGUCGCUCAACGUCUGCACUGCAGCGCGAACUGCCCAGCUUGAGUGCGCGCAACGUUGGCGGAAUUCGCCGUGUAGCGGUGAAAUGCUUAGAUAUGGCGAAGAACUCCGAUUGCGAAGGCAGCUGACGGGUGCGUAACUGACGCUCAUGCUCGAAAGUGCGGGUAUCGAACAGGAUUAGAUACCCUGGUAGUCCGCACGGUAAACGAU
RNAcentral lists this ribosomal RNA (815 nucleotides) under uncultured bacterium. Its description in RNAcentral is "bacterial SSU rRNA". It matches the Rfam family "Bacterial small subunit ribosomal RNA", at positions 8 to 810 of the family's 1533-position model. The record is from RNAcentral.